GUGGACGCCAGUCUGCAUGGAGCCGACCUUGAAAUACCACCCUUUAAUGUUUGAUGUUCUAACGUGGACCCGUAAUCCGGGUUGCGGACAGUGUCUGGUGGGUAGUUUGACUGGGGCGGUCUCCUCCUAAAGAGUAACGGAGGAGCACGAAGGUUGGCUAAUCCUGGUCGGACAUCAGGAGGUUAGUGCAAUGGCAUAAGCCAGCUUGACUGCGAGCGUGACGGCGCGAGCAGGUGCGAAAGCAGGUCAUAGUGAUCCGGUGGUUCUGAAUGGAAGGGCCAUCGCUCAACGGAUAAAAGGUACUCCGGGGAUAACAGGCUGAUACCGCCCAAGAGUUCAUAUCGACGGCGGUGUUUGGCACCUCGAUGUCGGCUCAUCACAUCCUGGGGCUGAAGUAGGUCCCAAGGGUAUGGCUGUUCGCCAUUUAAAGUGGUACGCGAGCUGGGUUUAGAACGUCGUGAGACAGUUCGGUCCCUAUCUGCCGUGGGCGCUGGAGAACUGAGGGGGGCUGCUCCUAGUACGAGAGGACCGGAGUGGACGCAUCACUGGUGUUCGGGUUGUCAUGCCAAUGGCACUGCCCGGUAGCUAAAUGCGGAAGAGAUAAGUGCUGAAAGCAUCUAAGCACGAAACUUGCCCCGAG
Molecule: ribosomal RNA, 640 nt
Filed under: Salmonella enterica subsp. enterica serovar Infantis
Lineage: Bacteria; Pseudomonadati; Pseudomonadota; Gammaproteobacteria; Enterobacterales; Enterobacteriaceae
Also listed under: 8 other names
Description: partial 23S ribosomal RNA
Rfam family: Bacterial large subunit ribosomal RNA
Source: RNAcentral